CAGCAGCCGCGGGAAUACGGAGGGAGCUAGCGUUGUUCGGAAUUACUGGGCGUAAAGCGCGCGUAGGCGGUUACUCAAGUCAGAGGUGAAAGCCCGGGGCUCAACCCCGGAACUGCCUUUGAAACUAGGUGACUAGAAUCUUGGAGAGGUCAGUGGAAUUCCGAGUGUAGAGGUGAAAUUCGUAGAUAUUCGGAAGAACACCAGUGGCGAAGGCGACUGACUGGACAAGUAUUGACGCUGAGGUGCGAAAGCGUGGGGAGCAAACAGGAUUAGAGACCCGAGUAGUCCCUGUCUCUUAUAA
Molecule: ribosomal RNA, 301 nt
Filed under: uncultured bacterium
Lineage: Bacteria
Description: partial 16S ribosomal RNA
Rfam family: Bacterial small subunit ribosomal RNA
Source: RNAcentral